RNAcentral lists this ribosomal RNA (811 nucleotides) under uncultured bacterium. RNAcentral describes it as "bacterial SSU rRNA". It matches the Rfam family "Bacterial small subunit ribosomal RNA", at positions 8 to 780 of the family's 1533-position model. The record is from RNAcentral.
AGAGUUUGAUCAUGGCUCAGGACGAACGCUGGCGGCGUGCCUAAUACAUGCAAGUCGAGCGAGCUUGCCUAGAUGAUUUCGGUGCUUGCACCGAAUGAAACUAGAUACAAGCGAGCGGCGGACGGGUGAGUAACACGUGGGUAACCUGCCCAAGAGACUGGGAUAACACCUGGAAACAGAUGCUAAUACCGGAUAACAACAUCUAGCGCAUGCUAGAAGUUUGAAAGAUGGGUUUCUAUCACUCUUGGAUGGACCUGCGGUGCAUUAGCUAGUUGGUAAGGUAACGGCUUACCAAGGCAAUGAUGCAUAGCCGAGUUGAGAGACUGAUCGGCCACAUUGGGACUGAGACACGGCCCAAACUCCCACGGGAGGCAGCAGUAGGGAAUCUUCCACAAUGGACGCAAGUCUGAUGGAGCAACGCCGCGUGAGUGAAGAAGGGUUUCGGCUCGUAAAGCUCUGUUGGUGGUGAAGAAAGAUAGAGGUAGUAACUGGCCUUUAUUUGACGGUAAUCACCUAGAAAGUCACGGCUAACUACGUGCCAGCAGCCGCGGUAAUACGUAGGUGGCAAGCGUUGUCCGGAUUUAUUGGGCGUAAAGCGAGUGCAGGCGGUUCAAUAAGUCUGAUGUGAAAGCCUUCGGCUCAACCGGAGAAUUGCAUCAGAAACUGUUGAACUUGAGUGCAGAAGAGGAGAGUGGAACUCCAUGUGUAGCGGUGGAAUGCGUAGAUAUAUGGAAGAACACCAGUGGCGAAGGCGGCUCUCUGGUCUGCAACUGACGCUGAGGCUCGAAAGUAUGGGUAGCGAACAGGAUUA